CAACCUGCCGUCUACUCUUGGACAGCCUUCUGAAAGGAAGAUUAAUACAAGAUGGCAUCAUGAGUCCGCAUGUUCACAUGAUUAAAGGUAUUCCGGUAGACGAUGGGGAUGCGUUCCAUUAGAUAGUAGGCGGGGUAACGGCCCACCUAGUCUUCGAUGGAUAGGGGUUCUGAGAGGAAGGUCCCCCACAUUGGAACUGAGACACGGUCCAAACUCCUACGGGAGGCAGCAGUGAGGAAUAUUGGUCAAUGGGCGAGAGCCUGAACCAGCCAAGUAGCGUGAAGGAUGACUGCCCUAUGGGUUGUAAACUUCUUUUAUAAAGGAAUAAAGUCGGGUAUGUAUACCCGUUUGCAUGUACUUUAUGAAUAAGGAUCGGCUAACUCCGUGCCAGCAGCCGCGGUAAUACGGAGGAUCCGAGCGUUAUCCGGAUUUAUUGGGUUUAAAGGGAGCGUAGAUGGAUGUUUAAGUCAGUUGUGAAAGUAUGCGGCUCAACCGUAAAAUUGCAGUUGAUACUGGAUAUCUUGAGUGCAGUUGAGGCAGGCGGAAUUCGUGGUGUAGCGGUGAAAUGCUUAGAUAUCACGAAGAACUCCGAUUG
RNAcentral lists this ribosomal RNA (595 nucleotides) under uncultured Bacteroidota bacterium. RNAcentral's name for it is "bacterial SSU rRNA". It matches the Rfam family "Bacterial small subunit ribosomal RNA", at positions 122 to 715 of the family's 1533-position model. The record is from RNAcentral. Lineage: Bacteria; Pseudomonadati; Bacteroidota.